This is a non-coding RNA of Triticum aestivum (bread wheat), 98 nucleotides long. NCBI's taxonomy places the organism in Eukaryota, Viridiplantae, Streptophyta, Magnoliopsida, Poales, Poaceae. The record is from Rfam.
UCAUUCGGAUUCGCCAUCAUACGUCCAACCGUGCAUUUGAUAUGCAUAUAUAUGCAUCAUGAGCCACGGUUGGGCUGUAUGAUGGCGAUACCGAUUGG